Molecule: ribosomal RNA, 201 nt
Filed under: Stenotrophomonas sp.
Lineage: Bacteria; Pseudomonadati; Pseudomonadota; Gammaproteobacteria; Lysobacterales; Lysobacteraceae
Description: partial 16S ribosomal RNA
Rfam family: Bacterial small subunit ribosomal RNA
Source: RNAcentral
CGGCAGCACAGUAAGAGCUUGCUCUUAUGGGUGGCGAGUGGCGGACGGGUGAGGAAUACAUCGGAAUCUACUUUUUCGUGGGGGAUAACGUACCGGAAACUUACGCUAAUACCGCAAACNACCUUCGGGUGAAAGCAGGGGACCUUCGGGCCUUGCGCGAUUGAAUGANCCGAUCUCGGAUUAGCUAGUUGGCGGGGUAAA